Molecule: long non-coding RNA, 1026 nt
Filed under: Trifolium pratense (red clover)
Lineage: Eukaryota; Viridiplantae; Streptophyta; Magnoliopsida; Fabales; Fabaceae
Description: long non-coding RNA (TPRA_LNC001124)
Source: RNAcentral
UGAAAUUGGAAAAAGAGAUACAUUUAUUAAAAGUUAAUGUUAUUGUACCAAAUCUAACACAACAUUUGUCACUAUGUGUUGAUCUCUGAAUACUAAAUUUGAAAACAACUAUGUUGAUUAAAGCAAAGCCGCAGAAAAGGGACAUCUUAUUAAAUUUUUUUUAAUACAGUCAAGGAAAAAAACGCUAAAAACCUACAAUAUCAAUUCUUAGAAUUGGGAGUUGGGCCUAACUCAUUCUUACAAAACCGGCUUGUAAAGUGAGGAUUGUCUCUACUUUAUAAACAUAUAUUUAGGCCAUCUCACAACUGAUGUAGGACUUCUUAACACACCCCCUCGCGCCCAGCACUUUUGGGCUCGGGGCGAGGAAAUAAAUGGUGAAUGGCCCGAUCAGAAAUCUGAUAGGGUGCGGCCCAACAGAUUGUGGAGGAGGCUCUGAUACCAUCUUAGAAUUGGAAGUUGGGCCUAACUCAUCCUUACAAAACCAGCUUGUAAGGUAAGGAUUGCCUCUACUUUAUAAACAUAUAUUCAGGUCAUCACGCAACCGAUGUGGGACUUAUUAACAUCAAUAAAGAAAGGAACUGCCAUUUAAAAAUAAAGGAAUAAAAUAAUAAUUUAUUUUACUAUUUCGUAUUAUUUGUUGACAUGCAUUAACAAAUUAACAAAUCCAAUAACAUUUUACCGGGAAAAUAUAAUAUUUACAUGUCAAAUUACAUUAAGGUGCUUUCUGUGAAGAAUCCGUAACACUGACAACUAAUUAUAUUUUAAUAGGCUAACUAUGGAGGAAGCUCGGAUAUGACACAAAACCUGGAUACAUUCCCCUCUUAUGCAUCACCAGUAAAGCAAUUAUUUGUAAGUAUGAUUUUAUGUCUUUUAAAACAGUAACAAAUAGAAUUAAAGAAGAGACUUACCUAAACCAGAGAGGUUUGACUUACACGCUAGAGGUGUGCACCUUUGUGAAGCAUCUUCGCUUUAGUCAUAAAGAGGACAUGGCAAUUUCAGAAAAGCAAAGGAUAUAACACAAUUAGG